Molecule: transfer RNA, 71 nt
Filed under: Marmota monax (woodchuck)
Lineage: Eukaryota; Metazoa; Chordata; Mammalia; Rodentia; Sciuridae
Description: tRNA.Ala
Rfam family: tRNA (bases 6-66)
About the family: Transfer RNA (tRNA) molecules are approximately 80 nucleotides in length. Their secondary structure includes four short double-helical elements and three loops (D, anti-codon, and T loops). Further hydrogen bonds mediate the characteristic L-shaped molecular structure. tRNAs have two regions of fundamental functional importance: the anti-codon, which is responsible for specific mRNA codon recognition, and the 3' end, to which the tRNAs corresponding amino acid is attached (by aminoacyl-tRNA synthetases). tRNAs cope with the degeneracy of the genetic code in two manners: having more than one tRNA (with a specific anti-codon) for a particular amino acid; and 'wobble' base-pairing, i.e. permitting non-standard base-pairing at the 3rd anti-codon position.
Source: RNAcentral
GAGGCUGUAGCUCAGUGAUAGAGCACUUGCCUCGCAAGUGUGAGGCCCUGAGUUCGAUCCUCAGCACCACA